GUAGGGGGCUAGCGUUGUCCGGAAUCAUUGGGCGUAAAGCGCGCGUAGGCGGCCCGGUAAGUCUGCUGUAAAAGUCAAAGGCUUAACCUUUGAAAGUCAGUGGAUACUGCCGGGCUAGAGUCCGGAAGAGGCGAGUGGAACUCCUGGUGUAGCGGUGGAAUGCGCAGAUAUCAGGAAGAACACCAACGGCGAAGGCAGCUCGCUAGGACGAGACUGACGCUGAGGCGCGAAAGCGUGGGGAGCGAACAGGAUUAGAUACCCUGGUAGUCCACGCCGUAAACGAUGGGCACUAGGUGUGGGAGGUGUCGACUCCUCCCGUGCCGGCGCUAACGCAUUAAGUGCCCCGCCUGGGGAGUACGGCCGCAAGGCUAAA
RNAcentral lists this ribosomal RNA (373 nucleotides) under uncultured bacterium. RNAcentral's name for it is "bacterial SSU rRNA". It matches the Rfam family "Bacterial small subunit ribosomal RNA", at positions 527 to 898 of the family's 1533-position model. The record is from RNAcentral.